RNAcentral lists this ribosomal RNA (925 nucleotides) under uncultured bacterium. RNAcentral's name for it is "bacterial SSU rRNA". It matches the Rfam family "Bacterial small subunit ribosomal RNA", at positions 576 to 1501 of the family's 1533-position model. The record is from RNAcentral.
CGGUCUGUUAAGUCAGAUGUGAAAUCCCCGGGCUUAACCUGGGAACUGCAUUUGAAACUGGCAGGCUAGAGUCUCGUAGAGGGGGGUAGAAUUCCAGGUGUAGCGGUGAAAUGCGUAGAGAUCUGGAGGAAUACCGGUGGCGAAGGCGGCCCCCUGGACGAAGACUGACGCUCAGGUACGAAAGCGUGGGGAGCAAACAGGAUUAGAUACCCUGGUAGUCCACGCUGUAAACGAUGUCGAUUUGAAGGUUGUGGUCUUGAGCCGUGGCUUUCGGAGCUAACGCGUUAAAUCGACCGCCUGGGGAGUACGGCCGCAAGGUUAAAACUCAAAUGAAUUGACGGGGGCCCGCACAAGCGGUGGAGCAUGUGGUUUAAUUCGAUGCAACGCGAAGAACCUUACCUACUCUUAACAUCCAGAGAACUGAGCAGAGAUGCUUAGGUGCCUUCGGGAACUGUGAGACAGGUGCUGCAUGGCUGUCGUCAGCUCGUGUUGUGAAAUGUUGGGUUAAGUCCCGCAACGAGCGCAACCCUUAUCCUUUGUUGCCAGCGAUUCGGUCGGGAACUCAAAGGAGACUGCCGGUGAUAAACCGGAGGAAGGUGGGGAUGACGUCAAGUCAUCAUGGCCCUUACGAGUAGGGCUACACACGUGCUACAAUGGCGCAUACAAAGAGAAGCGAUCUCGCGAGAGUCAGCGGACCUCAUAAAGUGCGUCGUAGUCCGGAUUGGAGUCUGCAACUCGACUCCAUGAAGUCGGAAUCGCUAGUAAUCGUGGAUCAGAAUGCCACGGUGAAUACGUUCUCGGGCCUUGUACACACCGCCCGUCACACCAUGGGAGUGGGUUGCAAAAGAAGUAGGUAGCUUAACCUUAGGGAGGGCGUUUACCACUUUGUGAUUCAUGACUGGGGUGAAGUCGUAACAAGGUAACC